This 214-nucleotide ribosomal RNA is filed under the name uncultured Streptococcaceae bacterium. RNAcentral describes it as "partial 16S ribosomal RNA". It matches the Rfam family "Bacterial small subunit ribosomal RNA", at positions 524 to 738 of the family's 1533-position model. Lineage: Bacteria; Bacillati; Bacillota; Bacilli; Lactobacillales; Streptococcaceae. The record is from RNAcentral.
UACGUAGGUCCCGAGCGUUAUCCGGAUUUAUUGGGCGUAAAGCGAGCGCAGGCGGUUAGAUAAGUCUGAAGUUAAAGGCUGUGGCUUAACCAUAGUACGCUUUGGAAACUGUUUAACUUGAGUGCAGAAGGGGAGAGUGGAAUUCCAUGUGUAGCGGUGAAAUGCGUAGAUAUAUGGAGGAACACCGGUGGCGAAAGCGGCUCUCUGGUCUGUA